GAGGUGGCUCAGUGGUAGAGCACUUGCUUUGUAUGCGUGAGGCCCUGGGUUCAAUCUCCAGUACCACA
This 68-nucleotide transfer RNA is filed under the name Marmota monax (woodchuck). RNAcentral's name for it is "tRNA.Thr". It matches the Rfam family "tRNA". From Rfam's summary of the family: Transfer RNA (tRNA) molecules are approximately 80 nucleotides in length. Their secondary structure includes four short double-helical elements and three loops (D, anti-codon, and T loops). Further hydrogen bonds mediate the characteristic L-shaped molecular structure. tRNAs have two regions of fundamental functional importance: the anti-codon, which is responsible for specific mRNA codon recognition, and the 3' end, to which the tRNAs corresponding amino acid is attached (by aminoacyl-tRNA synthetases). tRNAs cope with the degeneracy of the genetic code in two manners: having more than one tRNA (with a specific anti-codon) for a particular amino acid; and 'wobble' base-pairing, i.e. permitting non-standard base-pairing at the 3rd anti-codon position. Lineage: Eukaryota; Metazoa; Chordata; Mammalia; Rodentia; Sciuridae. The record is from RNAcentral.